This 219-nucleotide long non-coding RNA is filed under the name Solanum tuberosum (potato). RNAcentral's name for it is "long non-coding RNA (STUB_LNC000309)". Lineage: Eukaryota; Viridiplantae; Streptophyta; Magnoliopsida; Solanales; Solanaceae. The record is from RNAcentral.
CUUUCUUUCAGAUGCAAAUCAACCAAAACCUUCCUGAUAUCAAGAUGAUGACUGAGGUCCCCCGAACUUUGAAAGAAUGGUGGGGAAACAUCCGAGUGGCCUACAGAAAUGAGAUUAUGCUACACUUAUGUAACGACCCGCUAGGUCAUUUUGAGAACUAGGACUAUUUUGACUUUUCCCAAAACUUUUGAAUGGAAAAUUUUAAAAUUUAUUCAGUAG